RNAcentral lists this ribosomal RNA (505 nucleotides) under uncultured bacterium. RNAcentral describes it as "partial 16S ribosomal RNA". It matches the Rfam family "Bacterial small subunit ribosomal RNA", at positions 28 to 507 of the family's 1533-position model. The record is from RNAcentral.
GACGAACGCUGGCGGCGUGCCUAAUACAUGCAAGUGGGACGCAAGGAAACACACUGCGCUUGCACACCGUGUUUUCUUGAGUCGCGAACGGGUGAGUAACGCGUAGGUAACCUGCCUAUUAGCGGGGGAUAACUAUUGGAAACGAUAGCUAAUACCGCAUAAUAUUAAUUAUUGCAUGAUAAUUGAUUGAAAGAUGCAAGCGCAUCACUAGUAGAUGGACCUGCGUUGUAUUAGCUAGUUGGUAAGGUAAGAGCUUACCAAGGCGACGAUACAUAGCCGACCUGAGAGGGUGAUCGGCCACACUGGGACUGAGACACGGCCCAGACUCCUACGGGAGGCAGCAGUAGGGAAUCUUCGGCAAUGGACGAAAGUCUGACCGAGCAACGCCGCGUGAGUGAAGAAGGGUUUCGGAUCGUAAAGCUCUGUUGUAAGUCAAGAACGUGUGUGAGAGUGGAAAGUUCACACAGUGACGGUAGCUUACCAGAAAGGGACGGCUAACUACGUG